ACAACACCUGCCUACCUGGUAAUGCUGUUGGACUCACCUGCUCAGAGCCUGAUGAUGUGAGUCUGGUGGGAGGAGGCAGUCGCUGUGCUGGUGGAGUGGAGUGGUACGACCAGGGAGCGUGGAGGACUGUGGGAACUCUCUCUGACGUGAUGUUUACAGCUGCAGUAGUGUGUAGACAGCUGGGUUGUGGCUCCACUGUUUCAGCACUACCUGGAAACACCACUAGAGGGUUUAGAGUUUCCUGUUCUGGGUCUGAGUCUUCACUGAGGGAGUGUAGAAGAAUGUAUGAUCUCCUUCCUGGACUCACAGUGAUCUGCUCAGAGUCUGUGCGGCUUGUGAAUGGAGCUGGUCUCUGCUCUGGGAGAGUGGAG
Oncorhynchus kisutch (coho salmon) is the source of this 371-nucleotide long non-coding RNA. RefSeq lists it as uncharacterized. The transcript is spliced from 3 exons. Lineage: Eukaryota; Metazoa; Chordata; Actinopteri; Salmoniformes; Salmonidae. The record is from RefSeq and is a predicted model, not a curated record.